This 671-nucleotide ribosomal RNA is filed under the name uncultured Dinobryon. RNAcentral describes it as "partial Bacterial large subunit ribosomal RNA". It matches the Rfam family "Bacterial large subunit ribosomal RNA", at positions 2229 to 2912 of the family's 2925-position model. The record is from RNAcentral. Lineage: Eukaryota; Chrysophyceae; Chromulinales.
CAUACCGUAAGCCGGUUGAAAGACAGUUUCAGGUGGGCAGUUUGACUGGGGCGGUCGCCUCCCAAAAGGUAACGGAGGCGUACAAAGGUUUCCUCAGAUCGUUCAGAAAUCGAUCUUAGAGUGCAAAGGCAAAAGGAAGCUUAACUGUGAGACAAACAAGUCGAGCAGAGACGAAAGUCGGUCUUAGUGAUCUGACGCUGCUGUGUGGAAAGGGCGUCACUCAACGGAUAAAAGUUACUCUAGGGAUAACAGGCUGAUCUCCCCCAAGAGCUCAUAUCGACGGGGAGGUUUGGCACCUCGAUGUCGGUUCGUCACAUCCUGGGGCUGGAGAAGGUCCCAAGGGUUCGGCUGUUCGCCGAUUAAAGUGGCACGUGAACUGGGUUCAGAACGUCGCAAGACAGUUCGGUCCCUAUCUGUGAUGGGCGUUAGAAAAUUGCGUAGACAUGACCUUAGUACGAGAGGACCGGGUCGUACGUACCGCUGGUGUAUCUGUUGUGCCGCCAGGUGCAGCGCAGAGUAGCUAUGUACGGACAGGAUAAACGCUGAAAGCAUCUAAGCGUGAAACCUUCUACAAGAUGAGUUUUCUUUUAAGGGUCGUCAGAGACUAUGACGUUGAUAGGCUAUAGGUGUAAAGGUGGUAACAUCAAAGCCGAGUAGUACUAAUUGCCCGU